Molecule: unclassified non-coding RNA, 289 nt
Filed under: plant metagenome
Description: partial contains small subunit ribosomal RNA, internal transcribed spacer 1, and 5.8S ribosomal RNA
Rfam family: 5.8S ribosomal RNA (bases 241-289)
Source: RNAcentral
UUUCCGUAGGUGAACCUGCGGAAGGAUCAUUAAUGAGUUGUCAUGGGGUUCGAUGCUGGCAGCCAAUUUUUGGAUGCAUGUGCUUGCCCUAACAAUCAUCUUCCAAACACCUGUGCACGUUUUUGAGGGAGUCUUGAGUUGGUUGCCGCUCUUGGGUGAUUUUCUCACAUUCCCUUAAAUCAUUAUACGCUAUUAACAAUGUUGAACGUGCUCUGUGCCGCAAGGCUAUUAAUAUAAUACAACUUUUAACAACGGAUCUCUUGGCUCUCGCAUCUAUGAAGAACGCAGC